CGAGGUGGUGUCGGAGGUUUGGCCGGUGCUACCGGUGGUUUAACCGGAUGUGUUGGGGUUGGGUUGACAGGUGGUUUAACCGGUGGUGGUGUCGUAACUGGCGUUGUCGUGGGUGGCUUAACCAGUGGCGUUGGGGGUUUGUACGUAGGUGGUUGAACCGGCGGUGGUUUGAUCAGUGGUGUUGUGGGUGGUUUAACCGUUGGCGUUGGGGGUUUGUACGUAGGUGGUUUGACCAGUGGUGCUGUGGGUGGUUUGACCGGAGGAAUUGGGUACGAUUUAACCGGUGGUUUCGUUGGUGUAACCGGACUGGUGGGAGGUUUGACCGGUGGUAGUGUGGUGGGUGGUUUAACCGGAGGUAUAGUGGUGGGUGGUUUAAUCGGGAUAGUAGGCAGCGUGGGUGGCUUGUACGACGGAGACGGCGGUUUGAUUGCCGGAGACGUCGG
This 443-nucleotide long non-coding RNA is filed under the name Eutrema salsugineum. RNAcentral describes it as "long non-coding RNA (ESAL_LNC001109)". The record is from RNAcentral. Lineage: Eukaryota; Viridiplantae; Streptophyta; Magnoliopsida; Brassicales; Brassicaceae.